This 253-nucleotide ribosomal RNA is filed under the name uncultured bacterium. RNAcentral describes it as "partial 16S ribosomal RNA". It matches the Rfam family "Bacterial small subunit ribosomal RNA", at positions 524 to 776 of the family's 1533-position model. The record is from RNAcentral.
UACGGGGUGGGCAAGCGUUGUUCGGAAUUACUGGGCGUAAAGGGCUCGUAGGCGGCCAACUAAGUCGGAUGUGAAAUCCCCAGGCUUAACCUGGGAACUGCAUCCGAUACUGGAUGGCUUGAAUCCGGGAGAGGGAUGCAGAAUUCCAGGUGUAGCGGUGAAAUGCGUAGAUAUCUGGAGGAAUACCGGUGGCGAAGGCGGCAUCCUGGACCGGCAUUGACGCUGAGGAGCGAAAGCUAGGGGAGCAAACGGG